GAGGCGAACCGGGAGAACUGAAACAUCUAAGUACCCCGAGGAAAAGAAAUCAACCGAGAUUCCCUCAGUAGCGGCGAGCGAACGGGGAUUAGCCCUUAAGCAUCUUGGAAGUUAGUGGAACGGUCCUGGAAAGGCCGGCGAUACAGGGUGAUAGCCCCGUACACGAAAACAACCUUGAUGUGAAAUCGAGUAGGGCGGGACACGUGACAUCCUGUCUGAAUAUGGGGGGACCAUCCUCCAAGGCUAAAUACUCCUGACUGACCGAUAGUGAACCAGUACCGUGAGGGAAAGGCGAAAAGAACCCCUGUGAGGGGAGUGAAAUAGAACCUGAAACCGUGUACGUACAAGCAGUGGGAGCCCUUCGGGGUGACUGCGUACCUUUUGUAUAAUGGGUCAGCGACUUACAUUUUGUAGCGAGGUUAACCGUAUAGGGGAGCCGUAGGGAAACCGAGUCUUAACUGGGCGUCUAGUUGCAAGGUGUAGACCCGAAACCGGGUGAUCUAGCCAUGGGCAGGUUGAAGGUUGAGUAACAUCAACUGGAGGACCGAACCCACUAACGUUGCAAAGUUAGGGGAUGACCUGUGGCUGGGGGUGAAAGGCCAAUCAAACUCGGAGAUAGCUGGUUCUCCCCGAAAGCUAUUUAGGUAGCGCCUCGGACGAAUACUACUGGGGGUAGAGCACUGUUUGGGCUAGGGGGUCAUCCCGACUUACCAACCCCAUGCAAACUCCGAAUACCAGUAAGUAAUAUCCGGGAGACACACGGCGGGUGCUAACGUCCGUCGUGAAGAGGGAAACAACCCAGACCGCCGGCUAAGGUCCCAAAGUUCUGGUUAAGUGGGAAACGAUGUGGGAAGGCUCAGACAGCUAGGAUGUUGGCUUAGAAGCAGCCAUCAUUUAAAGAAAGCGUAAUAGCUCACUAGUCGAGUCGGCCUGCGCGGAAGAUGUAACGGGGCUCAAACCAGGCACCGAAGCCGCGGAUUCACACUUAUGUGUGAGUGGUAGGGGAGCGUUCUGUAAGUCUGCGAAGGUGUAUCGAGAGGUAUGCUGGAGAUAUCAGAAGUGCGAAUGCUGACGUAAGUAACGAUAAAGGGGGUGAAAAGCCUCCUCGCCGGAAGACCAAGGGUUCCUGUCCAACGUUAAUCGGGGCAGGGUGAGUCGACCCCUAAGGCGAGGCCGAAAGGCGUAGUCGAUGGGAAGCAGGUUAAUAUUCCUGCACGACUUGUAAUUGCGAUGGGGGGACGGAGAAGGCUAGGUGGGCCAGGCGACGGUUGUCCUGGUGAAAGUGCGUAGGUGGUGUUUCUAGGCAAAUCCGGAGACACAACACUGAGACACGAGACGAACACACUACGGUGUGGAAGCCAUUGAUGCCCUGCUUCCAGGAAAAGCCUCUAAGCUUCAGAUUACAAGUCAUCGUACCCCAAACCGACACAGGUGGUCGGGUAGAGAAUACCAAGGCGCUUGAGAGAACUCGGGUGAAGGAACUAGGCAAAAUAGAACCGUAACUUCGGGAGAAGGUUCGCUCUUGACAGUGAAGUCCCUUGCGGAUGGAGCAGUUGGGAGUCGCAGUGACCAGAUGGCUGGGACUGUUUAUCAAAAACACAGCACUCUGCAAACACGAAAGUGGACGUAUAGGGUGUGACACCUGCCCGGUGCCGGAAGGUUAAUUGAUGGGGUUAGCGCAAGCGAAGCUCUUGAUCGAAGCCCCGGUAAACGGCGGCCGUAACUAUAACGGUCCUAAGGUAGCGAAAUUCCUUGUCGGGUAAGUUCCGACCUGCACGAAUGGUGUAACCAUGGCCAUGCUGUCUCCACCCGAGACUCAGUGAAAUCGAAUUCGCCGUGAAGAUGCGGUGUACCCGCGGCUAGACGGAAAGA
This 1872-nucleotide ribosomal RNA is filed under the name Aeromonas sp. HMWF015. RNAcentral's name for it is "bacterial LSU rRNA". It matches the Rfam family "Bacterial large subunit ribosomal RNA", at positions 176 to 2088 of the family's 2925-position model. Lineage: Bacteria; Pseudomonadati; Pseudomonadota; Gammaproteobacteria; Aeromonadales; Aeromonadaceae. The record is from RNAcentral.